UACGAAGGUCCCAAGCGUUGUUCGGAAUCACUGGGCGUAAAGGGUGCGUAGGCGGCGUGGUAAGUCAGAUGUGAAAUCCCGGGGCUCAACCUCGGAACUGCAUCCGAUACUGCCAUGCUAGAGGAUUGGAGAGGUAGCUGGAAUUCUUGGUGUAGCAGUGAAAUGCGUAGAGAUCAAGAGGAACACUCGUGGCGAAAGCGAGCUACUGGACAAUAACUGACGCUGAGGCUCGAAGGCUAGGGUAGCGAAAGGG
This 253-nucleotide ribosomal RNA is filed under the name uncultured bacterium. RNAcentral's name for it is "partial 16S ribosomal RNA". It matches the Rfam family "Bacterial small subunit ribosomal RNA", at positions 524 to 776 of the family's 1533-position model. The record is from RNAcentral.